UAAUUUGAGAGUUUGAUCCUGGCUCAGGACGAACGCUGGCGGCGUGCCUAAUACAUGCAAGUCGAACGAACUCUGGUAUUGAUUGGUGCUUGCAUCAUGAUUUACAUUUGAGUGAGUGGCGAACUGGUGAGUAACACGUGGGAAACCUGCCCAGAAGCGGGGGAUAACACCUGGAAACAGAUGCUAAUACCGCAUAACAACUUGGACCGCAUGGUCCGAGCUUGAAAGAUGGCUUCGGCUAUCACUUUUGGAUGGUCCCGCGGCGUAUUAGCUAGAUGGUGGGGUAACGGCUCACCAUGGCAAUGAUACGUAGCCGACCUGAGAGGGUAAUCGGCCACAUUGGGACUGAGACACGGCCCAAACUCCUACGGGAGGCAGCAGUAGGGAAUCUUCCACAAUGGACGAAAGUCUGAUGGAGCAACGCCGCGUGAGUGAAGAAGGGUUUCGGCUCGUAAAACUCUGUUGUUAAAGAAGAACAUAUCUGAGAGUAACUGUUCAGGUAUUGACGGUAUUUAACCAGAAAGCCACGGCUAACUACGUGCCAGCAGCCGCGGUAAUACGUAGGUGGCAAGCGUUGUCCGGAUUUAUUGGGCGUAAAGCGAGCGCAGGCGGUUUUUUAAGUCUGAUGUGAAAGCCUUCGGCUUAACCGAAGAAGUGCAUCGGAAACUGGGAAACUUGAGUGCAGAAGAGGACAGUGGAACUCCAUGUGUAGCGGUGAAAUGCGUAGAUAUAUGGAAGAACACCAGUGGCGAAGGCGGCUGUCUGGUCUGUAACUGACGCUGAGGCUCGAAAGUAUGGGUAGCAAACAGGAUUAGAUACCCUGGUAGUCCAUACCGUAAACGAUGAAUGCUAAGUGUUGGAGGGUUUCCGCCCUUCAGUGCUGCAGCUAACGCAUUAAGCAUUCCGCCUGGGGAGUACGGCCGCAAGGCUGAAACUCAAAGGAAUUGACGGGGGCCCGCACAAGCGGUGGAGCAUGUGGUUUAAUUCGAAGCUACGCGAAGAACCUUACCAGGUCUUGACAUACUAUGCAAAUCUAAGAGAUUAGACGUUCCCUUCGGGGACAUGGAUACAGGUGGUGCAUGGUUGUCGUCAGCUCGUGUCGUGAGAUGUUGGGUUAAGUCCCGCAACGAGCGCAACCCUUAUUAUCAGUUGCCAGCAUUAAGUUGGGCACUCUGGUGAGACUGCCGGUGACAAACCGGAGGAAGGUGGGGAUGACGUCAAAUCAUCAUGCCCCUUAUGACCUGGGCUACACACGUGCUACAAUGGAUGGUACAACGAGUUGCGAACUCGCGAGAGUAAGCUAAUCUCUUAAAGCCAUUCUCAGUUCGGAUUGUAGGCUGCAACUCGCCUACAUGAAGUCGGAAUCGCUAGUAAUCGCGGAUCAGCAUGCCGCGGUGAAUACGUUCCCGGGCCUUGUACACACCGCCCGUCACACCAUGAGAGUUUGUAACACCCAAAGUCGGUGGGGUAACCUUUUAGGAACCAGCCGCCUAAGGUGGGACAGAUGAUUAGGGUGAAGUCGUAACAAGGUAGCCGUAGGAGAACCUGCGGCUGGAUCACCUCCUUU
RNAcentral lists this ribosomal RNA (1567 nucleotides) under Lactiplantibacillus plantarum. RNAcentral describes it as "Lactobacillus plantarum 16S ribosomal RNA". It matches the Rfam family "Bacterial small subunit ribosomal RNA". Lineage: Bacteria; Bacillati; Bacillota; Bacilli; Lactobacillales; Lactobacillaceae. The record is from RNAcentral.